This 71-nucleotide transfer RNA is filed under the name Diphylleia rotans. Its description in RNAcentral is "tRNA-Trp". Lineage: Eukaryota; Collodictyonidae. The record is from RNAcentral.
CAGAAGAGACAGGAUUUGAACCUAUAUCAUCGAAUUUGGAGGCCGAUAUUCUACCCUUAAACUACUCUUCU